Molecule: ribosomal RNA, 253 nt
Filed under: uncultured bacterium
Lineage: Bacteria
Description: partial 16S ribosomal RNA
Rfam family: Bacterial small subunit ribosomal RNA
Source: RNAcentral
UACGAAGGGGGCUAGCGUUGCUCGGAAUGACUGGGCGUAAAGGGCGCGUAGGCGGAUUAUUAAGUCAGGCGUGAAAUUCCCGGGCUUAACCUGGGGGCUGCGUUUGAUACGCAUAGUCUAGAGUGCGGAAGAGGGUCGUGGAAUUCCCAGUGUAGAGGUGAAAUUCGUAGAUAUUGGGAAGAACACCGGUGGCGAAGGCGGCGACCUGGUCCGCAACUGACGCUGAGGCGCGAAAGCGUGGGGAGCAAACAGG